UGGAGCCGACCUUGAAAUACCACCCUUUAAUGUUUGAUGUUCUAACGUGGACCCGUGAUCCGGGUUGCGGACAGUGUCUGGUGGGUAGUUUGACUGGGGCGGUCUCCUCCUAAAGAGUAACGGAGGAGCACGAAGGUUGGCUAAUCCUGGUCGGACAUCAGGAGGUUAGUGCAAUGGCAUAAGCCAGCUUGACUGCGAGCGUGACGGCGCGAGCAGGUGCGAAAGCAGGUCAUAGUGAUCCGGUGGUUCUGAAUGGAAGGGCCAUCGCUCAACGGAUAAAAGGUACUCCGGGGAUAACAGGCUGAUACCGCCCAAGAGUUCAUAUCGACGGCGGUGUUUGGCACCUCGAUGUCGGCUCAUCACAUCCUGGGGCUGAAGUAGGUCCCAAGGGUAUGGCUGUUCGCCAUUUAAAGUGGUACGCGAGCUGGGUUUAGAACGUCGUGAGACAGUUCGGUCCCUAUCUGCCGUGGGCGCUGGAGAACUGAGGGGGGCUGCUCCUAGUACGAGAGGACCGGAGUGGACGCAUCACUGGUGUUCGGGUUGUCAUGCCAAUGGCACUGCCCGGUAGCUAAAUGCGGAAGAGAUAAGUGCUGAAAGCAUCUAAGCACGAAACUUGCCCCGAGAUGAGUUCUCCCUGAGACUUAGAGUCUCCUGAAGGAACGUUGAAGACGACGACGUUGAUAGGCCGGGUGUGUAAGCGCAGCGAUGCGUUGAGCUAACCGGUACUAAUG
This 731-nucleotide ribosomal RNA is filed under the name Salmonella enterica subsp. enterica. RNAcentral describes it as "bacterial LSU rRNA". It matches the Rfam family "Bacterial large subunit ribosomal RNA", at positions 2181 to 2906 of the family's 2925-position model. The record is from RNAcentral. Lineage: Bacteria; Pseudomonadati; Pseudomonadota; Gammaproteobacteria; Enterobacterales; Enterobacteriaceae.